RNAcentral lists this long non-coding RNA (22469 nucleotides) under Nicotiana benthamiana. Its description in RNAcentral is "long non-coding RNA (NBEN_LNC007228)". Lineage: Eukaryota; Viridiplantae; Streptophyta; Magnoliopsida; Solanales; Solanaceae. The record is from RNAcentral.
AUCUCUCUGGUUGAGGCUGCAUUCAUUAUUCAUAUUCAACUUGACACGUGGGAAGGGCUUACUCUACUAGUGGCUCGGCUUGGUCUCGCUCCCUUCCCGCACUAUUCCUCCCCACUAAAAAGAGCGAUUGAGAAUCUCGAGAACCUUUCCGAACGUCUGUCUUCGCGGUGCGAUUGGAAAAGAAAGGAGUAUUUAAUUCUUUUACUGUUUUCCAUUCCACUAUUCUGAUCGAAUUGAUUGCUCUUCCGAACGACCAAGUCAUAAUGAGUUUAAAAACCGAUGCUUCCUUAGCUGUGUGGAACAUGGAUUAGCAUUAUGUCAAUCCUACAAGUGAUGACCCACCCAGGAUUGCUAUGUACAGACUUAGAGAUCAAAUAGGAUAUGUUUCUUUCCAUUCCUCGUGAGCCACUUAUUUCUCCGAAACAAGAGAUUAAAGUCAUCUUCCUCCUUUUUCCAAGGAAGUCGACGACGUUGCACCAUUGAGAUACUUCGAAUAAACUUGAGUACAAAUAGGAUACACCGGUGCUAAAACCUUUUCCCAAGAUAUCUUCCAAAAAGUUGGGGUCGUUGCUCCGGAUCUUGUUCUCCCGGUGUGAAACCAGUUGGUUCCGUAGUUUUAGAAUUCUGCUGAUCACAAGUACUCCAUCUCCAUCAUUGCAUAUAGGAAUAUAGAAAGGAAAGAGGAAAAGGCAUGACCAGAAGAAUGGUGUGAAAUAAGUGAAUUUAUCCAGUUGAGGCAUUCUUGAUUGAUUGAGACAAAACGAUUCCCUCAAUACAACUUAACUCCGUCAAGCCUGUACGAGUAGUGAAGAAGUAUAGAGCACUUUGGUUGGUUGUUGACCAACGGAAAGCAUGGGAGAAAAAAAGAUGGACUAAGACAACAAAAAGGUUCACCCCUCACCUAGUCUCUCCCAUUCCGAAAAUAGGGAGAAAGUCAUGAUAGACGGGGCUAUUUCCCCCUUGAUGCUGUAGUUGAAGUAGCAUUCUCCGAAGAAAUUCUUCAAGUACUGUCUUCAUUGCAGGAUCGCGGGGAUGUGGAUCGCUUAGAUCGGCUCUGUCUAACUGCAAAAUUAUAUACUCUAGUAUUUCUGGCCUUAAGCCUUGUUCCCUAAAAGGGGAUUCGCGUAAAAUUGCAAGAAAUUUGUUGUCCGGUUCCUUGAGAAAGAGAUCAAAAAUUUGAUCCUGAAGAUUCACUUUUAACUCUAAAUCUUUGAUAUCGAACAGCUCAUUAUUUACUACGGAUAGAAAUUAAAUCGGAGUCUGCGUUUCAUUCAACAAGCUUCUCACCAAGGCUUCGUAUCCCCCAGCGUUAAGUUAAGGAGGUAAUUGGUCGAUUAGGCGUGCUUCUAAGAGACGAACUCGCGCAUAGAGGUCCAUCUCCAGACCCUCAAGCUCUGGGAACUGACGACCCCAAAGAAAAUAAGAAUUGGAGAGGGGGGGGGGCACCGGAUUAUCCUGCCUAAUUGAAGUGAAUUUGUAUGGGAUAAUCCUACAAUUAUAGAAGUAGUAGAAUUUGACGAAUUCUUUUCUCCACUUGACGAAGGGGAGUCAAAAAAAUGCGAAAAAAAGAGCAAAAUGUCUAUAUGACCAUGACCCUUUCUUAAUAAGUAAGAAAUUAGCAGCAGAUAGAGUAUCCGUAUUAAAAUAUGUAUUAAAAAUCUUACUACUCGGGAUAGUAAAUAAGAAAGUUUCAUCCAAAAAAGCAUUUGACCUAAAGUUAAAGUACCAUCCCGUAUUAAAAUAGGUAUUAAAAAUCUUACUACUCGGGAUACUAAAUAAGAAAGUUUCAUCCAAAAAAGCAUUUGACCUAAAGUUAAAGUACCAUAUCUUGUAAAACUUCCCUUCCAUAUAGAUCGUCGUGGCAUGAACAAAUUUCUNNNNNNNNNNNNNNNNNNNNNNNNNNNNNNNNNNNNNNNNNNNNNNNNNNNNNNNNNNNNNNNNNNNNNNNNNNNNNNNNNNNNNNNNUAGCGCCCAGAGCAAGCGCCCUUCCCUUCCAUGUAGAUCGUCAUGGCAUGAACUAAUUUCUUCGCUUCGAUUCCGCCCCUAAAGCUAUCUCCUAUUCCUCCUCCUUCUCCGUUAGGAUAAUCUCCUCCUUGGUCCUUUUUACAUAACACUCUCGGCCGCCCAAUAGGGCUGGCUAUCUUUCUCUUUAUACGCAAUAUCUUGGAAGGCAAAGAAAAACAUCUACCUUGGAACCGUCAUUGACUGAUAUAUUCAUUGCAUGGAAUGCCACACUCAGCGACUGGGGACCCGGUCUUCAUUAGCAAUUUAUGGCAUGAGCUCUUUCGUUUACAAGGGACACAAUUUAACAUGAGUACUGCUUUACACUCUUUUCCCGGGUGGGGCUUCUUAUACCUAAACGCAGCAGGCCCCGCGAGUAGUCGAACAAAUGAGAGGUUGUCGACGAAGGGGUCAAAGGUUGCGCUUGCGAUAAUCCGAAGGUUGCGCAAGACCCCUUCAACCUCGCCCGCGUGUUAGCUUGCUUGUACUAUCGCUCGCCUGCCUGACCUGCUUUCUGGCUAGCUUCUUUAACAAGACCCCUUCAACCCUGCCCGCGUGUUAGCUUGCUUGUGCUAUCGCUCGCCUGCCUGACCUGCUUUCUGGUUAGCUUCUUUAAGGCAAGCGCUACCAGAACCUAGCUAGCGCUAAUCUUUCUAACGUCGUCUGAAUUGCCUUGCAAGCGCUACAUCUAUAUGGCAAGCCCACGUCGCCGUCGUCUCCCAUUGUAGUCGCCUUCUUCAUAUGGCAAGCGCUACCCGUCGCAUGCACUACAUUGUCUGACGAUAACCUUGCCUGACCGCUUCCGCUCUGACUGAGCUGGCCGUCGCACCUGACUUCUAUAUCCCAUUAUCCAUUGAUCUCCUUCCUUAUGGUUGCCGGUCUAAGCAGAAGGUUGCUAAGUCAGAUGUCUGGUGAACACAUACGUAAUGAGUAUGGGUCUAGUAUGUGUACUAGUAAGGACGCGAGGUACUGAGUUGAGCGUCGAAAAGGCAAGUAGUGGAUCUUUAUUAUCGAAUGAUAUGGGAGACAGUCAAAGCAUCAGUCUCAACAUCAACAGAAGAAAAGGAGUGACCGACCACCGUUCAAGAGAGAUCCCGAAGGCUUGAACUUUUUGCUAGCUUUGAAAGAUGGGCGGAAGGAAAGAGGAAGACCAAACAAAGUCGCAGUCAAAGCAAAGAAAAAGAUGCCAAAAAAGAUUCGCUUAAGCUUCUAGCUCGCUUAGUUUAGUGUAGGUUGCUUGCAAGACUUUUGAUAGCUGGCUCGGCCGAACGGAACCAACAAUCUAGAUAGAUGGUUCGUUCACUCCCUAUUCUUUGAGAGGUUGCUUGCGUUCGAUAGCUGGCUCAACCGAACGGAAUCGCUGAUCUAGAUAUAAGGGUCGUACACUCCCUAUUCUUUGAGAGGUUGCUUGCGACGGUAGCAUUAGCUAGGCCAUCAAGGCAGGUCGAACAAGUCAGUCCUAGGGUGAAGAUCAUCGGAUGAGAAAAUGGAUUGAGCUGGCUAAUUACAUUGAUGACCCGGUGUAGAAUGGGAACAGAGAGUCGCUCCUAUAAACGAAUGAAUGGGACUCCUGGUCCUGAUCGAACCAGAGAUUCCGACAACCCGGGGAAUCGGCAGAAAGAGAUGGGUCGGAUACUGGAAUCUGCCCAAAAGUCCUGACUUUUUCGAGGCAGGGCUUCGACCCGUAUCUGGCCAACUCCUCGAACUGCUGGGUGCGGCAUAUUCAUGGACUGGCAAAUCCCAAAAGUCUUGACUUUUUCGAGGCAGCGCAUCGACCCGUAUCUGGCCAACUCCUCGAACUGCUGGGUGCGGUAUAUUCAUGGACUGGCAAAGCUAACUCUCAAUUUGAUCAGGAGAGCCUAGAGAGCUCUCUAUCUUUCCCCAAAUUCCGACUAGCGCGGUUCUUUUUCUCGACCAAUUUGAAUUCCAUUUCAUUUUUUAUUUUAAGUGUUGUAGAGUAGUAAACUCUCAAUUUGAUCAGGAGAGCCUAGAGAGCUCUCUAUCUUUCCCCAAAUUCCGACUAGCGCGGUUCUUUUUCUCGACCAAUUUGAAUUCCAUUUCAUUUUUUAUAUUAAGUGUUGUAGAGUAGUAAGUAGCUAGGCAAAUUCAACGCAUGCUGCGUUGAGAAUCUCCAAAGAAAUUAGAAGCGCCUAUGAUAGCGUAUGAUUAUUCCCAUUUGUGAUCGACGUUUUCUUGCAAGAGGUGGCGAUCGGCAGUGUUCCAAAGCGCCACAAUGACGUGCGUUAGAGCAUUAUGGCAAACAAUCCCAGCACCUGUAGUUAUGGGGAUCGCCUUCGGCUUGCUAUACUCUUUCCCUAACGCAUGCUGGUUACCAUAAAGACACCGAGGGAUAUCGCAUGCGCUAGUUUCGGGGAUGUUGUUUACACUACUAUUGGUAACAACUCAAAGUGCCGGAACGACUCUAGUGGUGCAAGCGAAGGUUUCAGUCUUGUCGAGCGAAGCAACCACUAGUCGCCCUUUGGUUACCAUAAAGACAUCGAGGGAUAUCGCAUGCGCUAGUUUCUGGGAUGUUGUUUACACUACCAUUGGUAAAUACUCAAAGUGCCGGAACGACUCUAGUGGUGCAAGCGAAGGUUUCAGCCUUGUCGAGCGAAGCAACCACUAGUCGCCCUUAGUGCUCCAAAACACCCUUUCGCUUGCGUGAGCAACGGCCCCUAGCGCCCAGAGCAAGCGCCUUUAGUGUUCCCGACCGCCUGCCUUUCGGCCUUAGCGUUCCAAACAACCAGUAGUGUGACCGAUCUGUGUUCAAAACAACCGAUGACGCUAGCGACGACUCGUGGGGCCCCCUAACGCCGAACAAAAAGGACUAGGAAAACCGAUGACGCUAGCGACAACUCGUGGGGCCCCCUAACGCCGAAAUAAAGGACUAGUGCUAUAACGAGUUGUGGUGUUACGGAACAACUACCCGACGCGUGGUAAUAAGGACAACACAAGUAGGUUGACAGUAGCGUUACGACGACUGGUUCUCGUAGUUGUAUUGCCCUAACUCAACGACUCAAACAACUACGAGUGCUCCCAAGAAGAUGAGACGCAUGCGCUAUACCGUCAAGUAUUGCUUGCGAAGCAACCGCAACUUGUUGUAGGUCCUCUCCAACCAUUACAGUCGAGUAGCUUUCACUCCUUCGCUUGAAAUGUGCAGUUUCUUUACCUAACGCAUGGCUUCCCUAACGCCAAUAGUCGCAUGAGUUCUCCUAGGCCAUAACCCAUGCGUUGAAAGAAACCGCAUGAUGCGUUCCGGAGUUGCCGUAGUUCCGUUACCGCCUUGUCGUCUUGGGUUGGGAAGGAUACGACAGGCUCAAUUCAAGGACACUCAAUUCACCCCCUUGUCGUCUUGGGUUGGGAAGGAUACGAUAGGCUCAAUUCAAGGACACUCAAUUUCAAGCUCAAUUUCAUGCUUUCGAAGCUCUGACACUUUCUGUCGCAUUUGUUCUCUCUUUUGUUUACCUUUCAUUUUCACUUUCUUUGUAUAGAAUGUAGUGCCCAUCAGUUUAAAGGAAGGGGUGAAGUCUCGGGAUCUGCAUCGACUGGAUAAAUAGUUUCCACUGAUGGGGAGGUUCUUUAACUGGCUAAUUGACUUAGUGAAUCGGCUAUGAUGCUCUUUUUGUCUGUGGGAUCAACUCCACCUUAGAGAUCUUCCAGAUCCGCAACUACAAGCUCUCGAGUGGGAACAGGAUCUCCUACUGCUGAUAGGCAUGCAAUCGAAGAAUCUGGCGAGAUAUAGAGAGGAUAUUCUCGAACUGGACCGCAUCUCCAUUUGCACCUGGAUAAUGUGCUGCCCUUUUCUUUUCUUCCAAACUCGGUCGAAUAAGUCGUAAACCUUUUUGGUGGAUCGACGAGAGUGCGCCUAGCCAGGAGUGUGGUUGGUUUCACCUCCCGUGCGCUAGCUCUGCCUUUGCCGGACGGGUAUACAUUUCAUCCAUAUCGCCAGCCUCACAGGGACGGAGAUGCUUAUGUUUAUAUAUCACGGCUUCCUAAGAUGCUAACACAGGGGCUACUAUUGCUACGGGAGCUUAGUGGUAGAGCAAGAAGAGAGGAGAUGGAGAUAUAGGCCAGCUAAAUGCCCUCAAAUCCGUCUACGAAAACGUGCUGGUACACGACAUGUAAGUACAACUAACCUUAAACGAGGUGCUUUCUCGGGCUCGGGAAUGAGUGGUGAACCAGGAAUCGACCCUAUGAAUAGCUCCUUACCUUAGUCAUAGUUAGGUUAGGCCUACUUCUUUCAAAACAAAAAGGGGAAUGAAUAGCCAAAGCCCCUUCUAUGAAGUCAAGCAACCGAACCUCUCGGGUGACCUUCCCCUCCUUUCCGCCUUCGUAUACUUCUUUCAAAAUAAAAAGGGAAUGAAUAACCAAAGCGCCUUCUAUGAAGUCAAGCAACCGAACCUCUCGGGUGACCUUCCCCUCCUUUCCGCCUUCGUACGACUAGUCUGAUUUUCUUUAUUCCUUCCUUGUCGUGAAUCGCUCCUUCCCACCUUACAGAGAGGGAUGUCCCUGCCCCACCCCAGGCAGGAGAAGGGCUUAUACUGCUCGCCUGUCGCUGUCGAGUUGCUCUGUGCUUGCUCAUUCUAGCUAGUCGUGACGACCUCUCAUUAUUCUUUUUUCCAGUCGCCUUCUUCCUUUGUCUUUUCCUUAUGGCACGACUGAGCUCGUGUCCGUCUCAGUCUCUGAUUAGCGAGUUCAGUUGCUUGCUGGGCGGUAUGCUUCUUCCCACCUUACAGAGAGGGAUGUCCCUGCCCCACCCCAGGCAGGAGAAGGGCUUAUACUUCUCGCCUGUCACUGUCGAGUUGCUCUGUGCUUGCUCAUUCUAGCUAGUCGUGACGACCUCUCAUUAUUCUUUUUUCCAGUCGCCUUCUUCCUUUGUCUUUUCCUUAUGGCACGACUGAGCUCGUGUCCGUCUCAGUCUCUGAUUAGCGAGUUCAGUUGCUUGCUGGGCGGUAGAGUCGCUAGACUGACGACUGAGGGCCCUCUCUAUCGCCAGUCGGUAGAGUCACUUGGAUUCUCUCUCACUAGCUUCCCUCUCGCUUGACUCACUCUGAUUCUGCACUUGCCGAGUGAGCAUAGCUUGCAAUCACUCUGAGUCUCGCUAAUUGCUCUGAUCCAUUUGCUUAUUCUUCUCUCCUUUUGCGCUAGACCGAGUUCGUUCAUUCUCAUUCGUAGUAGGGGGCUUCGCUGACAGAGUAUGCUUAUUCUUCUCUCCUUUUGGGCUAGACCGAGUUCGUUCAUUCUCAUUCGUAGUAGUGGGCUUCGCUGACAGAGUGCUAUUCAUUGUCUAGCCUUCGUCAACUUUCAACAAUCUUAUGCUUACGUUGCUAAAGAAGCCUUCAAACCAAUCAAGAGUGAGGCGGACUAGCGACCGACUAGCAACCAAUAAAGUAUCAGAGUGACCGGCAAGCUAGCAACAACGAAUGAAUGAGCGACAGUAACUCGAAAGGCUUUAAGCAUCUUUCAUCUUGCAAGAGCCUACCUCAACCCGAAAGCGAGACAGGUGGCUAGGUAGAGAAUACCUAGUGGCGCGAGAUAACUCUCUCGUUUGAACUCGGCAAUUUAUCCUGGCUGAAAGGGAACUCUUUGUAGUUGGGGGUGGUAGGUGACAGAACUCCGUUUGUGAUCCAAGCCCUGGAAUUACUUAAGACUCGUAUAAGCAGAGUCUAUAAGUAGACAAAGAUAAGAUAAUAAGCAUCUUGCUUGCUUUUCAAAGCGACGUCGUGCCUACUUGUGAAGAGUCAUCAGCAAGAUUCGUCUGUGUGCCACACAUAGGAUCUGAAGACUGAGCUCACUUCUUAUCUUACGUGAUUGACGGUGACACCUCCUAAACUUCCUGUGCUUGGAUCCACAGCGUGGUAUCUUCCACCCUUCAUUAAUGCUAAAAAUACGUUGAUGAGAAGGGGGUAUUUGCCGACAAGAAGCCUUUUUUUCAUUUAAAGGAGUCUAGUCUGUACGGAUGCGAAUGACACCUCCAAAACAUCCUGUGCUUGGAUCCACAGCGUGGUAUCUUCCACCCUUCAUUAAUGCUAAAAAUAUGUUGAUGAGAAGGGGAUGUUUGCCGACAAGAAGCCUUUUUUUCAUUUAAAGGAGUCUAGUCUAUACGGAUGCGCUUACCCCUGAUAGUGAUGGAUAUGGAUGAUGAAAGCCCGCCAGCGAAAGCCGAAGCACAGGUUCGCAGACCUCUCUAAAUCCCAAGAAGGGGAUUUACGGUCAACGCUAUCUCACUCAGAGAGCAUGACCCCGUUGACGAAUAGAAUAUCUAAACUGGGGCUGGGGACUUUCAUUUGAUCAAAGGGCUCCUUUCGCCUUUCAGGUCUUUCUCGCGUCUUGCCGAGCAUCUAGGAAUACAUAGAUUCUUUAAUUAGUCAAUCUUGGUACCGGAGCUGAAUCCGCAUUCCCUAAGGAGGCCUGGUCAAUCAGAUGAUUUUGUCUGGUUGAAAGUAGUCAACCGGCUUCUUCAAUCAAGCAGCACUCAAACGAAAGAAUAAGCAAGAGGAAGGAAUUGUCCAUGGGAUGGACAACGAAGUGUAUCGAUCCUCCCAAGCCUCUUCUCUUAUUAGUGGGUGAGGAGCUCUAUAGUCCAGGUGCACUUCUUCGUAGAUUCCCAGUAUCUCUAGGCGUAUCAUCAAUUUUUCCUUCCGGUGAUUCAUCGAUUGUAUCUCUGAGGCCUAUCGCCAGUAUCUCUUACCUGUUCGGGUCAUUCUACCAUUCUUCAAUCUCUAGAUCGAGUUGCUAGCUUCUUCUCUACCAGUCCUGGAUGUAGAUUCUCGACGAAUCAUCGGUAUUUCCUUCGUCAUUUGAUUUGUUCACCGAUGCCAAUUUCUCUCUUGCUACCGAGCUAGAAGUUAAUCGAAGCAUGCUUCAACCAAUCAAAGUUGUUUUUUCUGAUAUCAAUGCUAGCAUCUCUUGUUUGGUGAUCUGUACUGAGGUGUUCGCAAGGAGCUAUGCCCAAGGGGGAGGGUGUCGAGAGCGAGGAAAUCAAAGUUGUUUUUUCUGAUAUCAAUGCUAGCAUCUCUUGUUUGGUGAUCUGUACUGAGGUGUUCGCAAGGCGCUAUGCCCAAGGGGGAGGGUGUCGAGAGUGAGGAUCCAUUUGCUAAUUCUCGAAUGGUUUAGUAACCCGCUCUUGUAGCUCUUGUUCCUAUUUUAUGAAGCUAGGAUUCCUCUUGUUCUUCUCUUGAGCUUGUAAAAGAGCCUCAACCUUGGUAUCGACGAAUCACAACUCUUUCUUUUAGGGUAUUAUCCGCAGGAGAUCUGGUGUUGUAGUUUAUUGUUUGCUGGGCCUAGGAGCCAACCCCGAAGCCAAGGUCGAACGCACGCCUGAAGCGAACCCAAGCUUAAGGAGCUCUGAGCCCCAAGCCAGCACUUGCUACUCUCUUCUUGGUGAUCGAGUUUGGUAGCUCUUCGGUGUAUCGACAUCCCGAUUUCUACUCGAUAGAUCCCGCAAAUACGCUUGCUAAUUUGUCGGUGCCUAUUCUUUGAUUCAAUCUAGUGAUUCACCGCAUUCCCUUUUCUAGUCAGGAGUCUGGGAUGCCCAACUCAAGAGAAGUCCUAAGGUUCUGUUAAAAUAUCCUUAAUAGCAUCUCUUUCUCUAGAAUCCUGGCUUGUAGAUCUUUGGCGAAUCAAUAGGGGUUCUUUCAUAAAUAAGUUUUUCUCCAAACCUUGUUUGUUACUGAGCUGGGUAACUCAAACCCUAUCCCCUUCCUUUCUUAUUAGUAGAUAGAUGUAGAGCUGGAGACUCCCUUGAUAGGGCAUCCCAAUCUGGCUCUCAAUCUAUCGUGUAAGGAACGAAUACCAUAGGCAUAGGGUAAUUGCUCCUUACUUUUAAUUGAGAUAGGGGCUCGUUCGAUGCAAGUAUUUUGUUUCGAUCUCCUCCCUAUCUUCUUUCUAUGAAGAAUUCUCAAAAAAGGAGUCAACCUGUCUAAACUUCUCUACAAAAGUCUUCCCCACGCUAGGAGCCUUAGCAAGAAUGGUUGGAACCGGUCUGACCUAUGAGACUACUCAAAAGGAGGCUUCCUACCAGCACUAGAGUGGGAUAAGUAAACCUUGCCUUAGGUCAAUCCCUUCCCCUACUCGGGCAAGCAACAGACCCUUUUAAACAACCUCUUAUUAUUUGUUCUCUUCCUGCAGCGUUGGCUUCCUUUUACCUAUGAUAUCCCCAAGAGCAAAUUCGAUUGCAGUUGCAUCGGAGCUAGCUUCGAAAGAGAGGAGGCAUCCUUAUCUGAGUCGAUCGUUAGCCUAUUUAUCUUUUUGAUUUAUUCACUUCCUCCAGCAUUGGCCUUCUUACCUAUGAUAUCCCCAAGAGCUAGUUCGAUAGCAGUUGCAUCGGAGCUAGCUUGGAAAAAGAGGAUGCAUCCUUAUCUGAGCCGAUCGUUAGACUAUUUCUUCUUCUCGAGUAGCUUACUCUUGCUCUGUGCGCUAGGGAGUCAGACUAUGCUUAGUUCUCAUUUAUGUUUGCGCUGUGUGAGUUCUAGCUAGGAAGCAAGCGCCGCAAAGGGUUGACAGGGCAGCUCGACUGGUAAAGAAGGAGAUGGUACCGAAGCGGGAGGCUCGUAGACGCUACUAGUGCAAUGACUAGUGUAAUCUCUUUUCUCUAGUGAACUUUUUCUUAUGUAAACCCGGUGUGUUAUAAGUCUUUUAACUAGUCCAAUGGAAAUCUCCUCUAUUGCAGCAAAAGUAAAAAAAGGGUACUCGUGCUGCAGCUUGCUUACCUAAAAUGAAAAUCCUUACUAGCCAAAGUAAGGAACUUUCUUACUGGAGCAUACAUAACGGACAAGGACUUAUAAGACUAUUCUUAGCCUGUUAUUCNNNNNNNNNNNNNNNNNNNNNNNNNNNNNNNNNNNNNNNNNNNNNNNNNNNNNNNNNNNNUUAGCCUGUUAUUCAAGAAUCUUUCCUCAGAAUGGAUGAUGAAUGGAAGCGAGAUUGGAUUGACGUAUAGAAACUACAACUACGGAUUUGAUCCCUUUCUCUUAGGGAAUCUAGACUAGACGAGGGAGAUAUAAAGGUAACGUUGACGCUACGACAAAGAAAGUCAUUCAAUAAGUAAUGAAUGAGCUAAUUUCUUAUUAGAAGCCUAUUUAACUAGACAUGUCUCCUUUACCGGGGGGUUCCCACAGAGAAGUCUUGCUCUGGCUUGCCAAAAGCAUUUAAUAUUGAGAAUCUUGGAUGUAUUACACACUGGUGGAAUUGCGUAAGUAAUAAGGCUCUUAACUAGCUUAGUGAAUCAAUUUAAAAAAUAUUGAGAAUGUUGGAUGUAUUAUACAUUGGAGGAAUUGCGUAACUAAUAAGGCUUUUAACUAGCUUAGUGAAUCAAUUUAAACUAGUAAAUAGAGUAUGUUUUUGUUGACAGUGAGUAAAUGUUUGAUUCAGAGUCAGCGUAUUGGCUGACAAAAAAUGCUUUUCCAUUCAGAAAUCAGAAUCCCAUAUGUGGAGCCUCCCCUUCAUGUCUAUGUAAGGACUGAAGAACGAGUGAAUCUUGUAUUAGGGUUUAUGCCCAUCGCUGAUCAUGUGGUCGGUUUCCCCGCUUUUGAUUCCGACCAUGAUUUACUUAUUAUUCCUCCUCGUCCAUUAAUUCAGCUCCUUAGUUCAAUUAGUCCCUUCCUCAAAACCUAUUUCCGCAAAUGCCACUACUCUUAUUCCGCAAUAUGGGAUUGUUGGUUUGACAUGCCACCCCUUUCAUAUAAUAAAUGGAAUUGCAAUCUCCAUUCUACAGCUGCUCUGAUGUCUCGCCUGCCUGCUUGGUUAUAGGGCUAUAAGUGAGCAGGGCUUUUGAAAAUAGAGAGGUAGAGCAGCUAGGAGCUAAAUAUUAGAAGAGCGCCCUCUCUUUUUCUACAGCUGCUCUGAUGUCUCGCCUGCCUGCUUGGUUAUAGGGCUAUAAGUGAGCAGGGCUUUUGAAAAUAGAGAGGUAGAGUAGCUAGGAGCUAAAUAUUAGAAUAGCGCCCUCUCUUUUCUUCGGGAAAUUGAGUUCGCUGGGCUAGUUCCCUGUCCCCGAUAUGUAACGAAAAGAUUGAUUGGUUUACCACAUUCAUGAAAGCACUUGACUCUCUGGUGGUCCUUUACCUUUCUAAAAGAGAAGAGAAGAGAGGUAGUCGCAGCAGGAGAAGGAGCCCUAAACCCUGAGGAUCACUCGACCCCGACCGGUCAAUCUCCUGUCAUUGCUAUCUCGUGCGCGAAGGGUUGCCCAUGCUCCUAAUUAAGUCCAUCCGGGUCUUCCNNNNNNNNNNNNNNNNNNNNNNNNNNNNNNNNNNNNNNNNNNNNNNNNNNNNNNNNNNNNNNNNNNNNNNNGCAUUCAUGAAAGCACUUGCCUCUCUGGUGGUCCUUUACCUUUCUAAAAGAGAAGAGAAGAGAGGUAGUCGCAGCAGGAGAAGGAGCCCUAAACCCUGAGGAUCACUCGACCCCUACCGGUCAAUCUCCUGCCAUUGCUAUCUCGUGCGCGAAAGGUUGCCCAUGCUCCUAAUUAAGUCCAUCCGGGUCUUCCUUCCAUCUUUAAAUUAAGGUUCAGACUCAAUCGGCUGUCCUCUCCGAUUGGCGAACGUCGAAAGAGAAGGCGUAGGAAGGAACUGAUUGCAUUAGUCUCAGGUCAGGGACAUAGCCAUGUAUUACGAGAUUAGGCCGAUCAGAGAAUGCCAAUUAUUAAUUAAUAAUAAAAGAGGUAUCGAAUCUUUGCUUUAACAACUUUCAAAGUUGCACUAGCAUUAGCAGGAGGAGAAUCAGAUAAUGCCAAUUAUUAAUUAAUAAUAAAAGAGGAAUCGAAUAUUUGCUUUAACAACUUUCAAAGUUGCACUAGCAUUAGCAAGAGGAGGAGCACUAGUAGAAAGAACCUCUCUCAGAUGUCCAUAAAGAUGUUAUUCAAGUUAUUCAAAAGGAAGUCGAUAAAGAUUCAUCCCCUGCUCUUAGUGCUAGCUCUUUAUGUCUGGCACUGAAGAAGAAAGAUCAGAUGCGCCAACUCUGCUCUUUGCAUGUUUUCAUGAAUCAUUGGACAAUGUUGCGACAUGAAUCGAGGCUAGGUACGACCGAUUUCUAUUGAAUUAGCCCCAAUUUCUAUAAUAAUGUUUAUCAGAAUCACUAGUUGUAAUAGAUUCGCAAGGGAGAAGAAGGCUAAGCUACCCCUCCGUUGUCUCGCACACCAAGGCAAAAGAGAUUCAACAGUCGGCUGGGGAACCGGAAUCGAAGCAUACCAAGACUCAGGAUAAGGAAGGGUAAGGCAUCUAAGAAUAAGGCAAGUAGACCCAUACUCAGGCAAGAAAGAAAGUCUCUUACAAAAAAGGCAGGAAGAAGAGGCCCUCGCUCUACAUGAAACCUAAUAGAAUGGGCUACUUCUUAAGGUGGAAUGGACCACUUAUCAUAGAAGAAUCUUUCUUACAUCGAUUACUGACUAUACGGACAAAGUAAGUCAAAGAAAAGCCGAUGCACCUGAUACGACUAAAAAAGAGAGCUAUGGUCCAAAACCCCAAGUAAUUGACCAGGAGAGGAUCAUCAGGAAUGGACUAAGGGCCUACCAACCCUUUCUUAAUCUAAGGCAUCUGCCCUGGCAGAAAAGAAGACGGAAAGAAAGCCGAUUCAUACCUUAGCUUUGAACCAGCUUCUUCAAUCCUGCUACUCUUCUCCCUCUAUAUAGCGCGGGUAGCUUGCUUCCAAGCCACUGGCCGGAACCAGAUAAGGAACAAGAGAGAGAAGCAGCUCAAUUCAAAGGUUAGGCGCGAUAGCCACUCGUGCAGAAGGAGAUGUUUGGGAGAAAAGCCCAGUCUCAUGGUGCUUUUGUUAGGAGUUCCCCCUCUCUAGUAUAUUUUACUGUGGCAACCCUGAUGGAAAAGAUUGUUGGCCCCCUCUCUGCUGGUUCUCUCAGACUAGCAUCAACUGAUGUUAAGGUUAACCCAAUAGUAAGGUUUCAUUACUUCCGAAAUCUGGUAAGAGAUGUGGAGAGGUGUGUGAGCAGAAGGAUUCAUGAUGUACAAAAAAGCCGUUCCAUGUAGGAAUUCAUGUACCAACAAGAGUUUGGUCCUAUAUAUUUAGGGUAUGUUGGACCUUCAUUGCCUGCUGAUCUAUCCAAUGAUUUUCUGAUGGGAUAAUUCUGUUGUUGUGACCACAAUAUCGCAUUACCAUGGCGGCUGCCAAAGUGGUUGAUAGGAACUUAAGACUGAGGCACUCAGAGUUGUUGAUGGUUCAACCUUUACUGUGUCACCGGGCACCAAUCUGCAGGCUACUCUGUUGAUGCUUGGCCGCUAAGUGCUUUAAUAUGCAUUGGUUAUUGCACAGAAGUGCGAUUGCGACUAAUCAGGAGCUUUCGUAUGUAAACAAAAGAGUAGACAUCCCCCUUGAUAACUGAAUGCAAGCGAGGCUGGACCUAGAUUCGCGUAUGUAAGUGAAAAUGAAAAGAAAGGAGUUCCCCUUCCCCUUCUCAUGUCUUGUCUAGAAAGGGGAAGAGGAGCUCAAACAAGGUUCAAAGAUCCCCUCCCCAAAGUAUGGUUCAAAGAAAGCUUUUCGGGUUAGUGAGGAACAUGAUAGUGAAAGAGAGAAGAAAGGAAAUCAGUUUAUGGCGGCUUACCUUCGUACAUUCAAGAACAGUUGUUACUCCUUGGCAUCUAUCAAUGCACCGCUGUCCGAAUCUAAUAUGUUUACAUUCCUUCUUGCUGGCUUGCCUUCGGACUAUGAAAGCUUUGUCACUAUGGCGAAGCUUCAACGACCAAAACCAACUAUGGCUGAGCUUCUGUCUAGCUUGUUGUAACAUGAGUCUUGCCUUCAGCAGAUGCAUCCUAUUACUAUAUUGAAGAUCUUGUAUACUAACCGAGUCUGCACUCGCCCGAGAACACGUACGUCCUCCCUGUAAUUAUCUUGUCUUUGUUAUGGUUUCAGGGCCUACAUUACCCGUAUGGAGACACCAUCAUUCACAAGGCAUGCUUUACAUUGGACCCAAUGUUGAGCUUCUCAUAGCCGGUGAACUAGGCAAGCGACCCUUCAAGGCAGCCAGCCUUUCUGCAAAAUCAAUGUCCGCCUCGCCGCUGCUUUCGGGUGAUUGGAGAAUAGCUGUAAGGAAUACUAAACGAAAGUAUGCAGCGAGGCAAAGCCGAUUGAGAAUAUGACGGUUAGCCCCUCGGCGCUUGGGAUAGCGGUAAGGAAUACUAAAUGAAAGUAUGCAGCGAGGCAAAGCCGAUUGAGAAUAUGACGGUUAGCCCCUCGGCUUUUGGGAGGAAUCCUAUUUAAUAAAGAUUCUUCCUCUAGUCGAAUAGAGUAGUAGUCCAGGCCUCCGAAAUACAAGAUUCUCAUGAGUAAAAUCUUGGUAUCAGAGCUCCUUUUUCGCUCAUAAUUCGUUUCCUCCUUAUACUAGAAUUUGACUUGAAUUCCCCCCGAAAGAGAGAAUGCACUAUAUGCCUUUAAAAUAAAAAGAAGGCUGGAAAAAAGAGAGAGCUCAUUUCUUUUCUAGCUUUUGCGGGAGGAAUAAAAUACAUAUCCUAUACGAAGGCCUAUAUACAAAAAAGCACUUUGCCUAGAAUCCCAAGUUGCCUCCCCUCUCCUCUGAGGCCGAUAGCAUCCGCUUUUGGAGCCCCUCGCCUUUGAGUACGGCAGCAGCCCAGACAUAGACCAAAUUAGGGGCCUAAACUCUUGAGUAGAUUGCCCAUGGAAAGGAGCUUACUCCAAGAUCUUACUCCGCCCGUGUAGGAGUUCGGGAAGGCCAGAAGUAAACAAAGAGCGGUAGAAGAGAAUAAAGUGUUGCGCCCAUUCUUUUCAUUCACAUCUUACUCCGCCCGUGUAGGAGUUCGAGAAGGCCAGAAGUAAACAAAGAGCGGUAGAAGAGAAUAAAGUGUUGCGCCCAUUCUAUUCUUUCAUAGCUGGAGCAAAUGGAAGGAGACGUCGUGCAAGUCGAAGACUUUGAUAGGUGUCGGUAGGCACGCCUCUUAUAAGGGCUCAAUCCUGAUAAUCAAUCCCAAUCGAAUCUAUGGAAGAGAGACCCUCUAUCCUCUUAAUCUUUAGAGUAGAUAUUAUGUAUAGGAUAAUCAGUCAACUGCGUGUGCCCAAGACAAGGCAAGAUGAAUAGGAAUGUUGAAGGGACAUAAGGCUCAGCUAAGGUAAGGAAAGACCCUGACCAUCUAGGUCACCAAGUACUCUUAUUUUUAGGGCAAGAUGAAUAGGAAUGUUGAAGGGACAUAAGGCUCAGCUAAGGUAAGGAAUGACCCUGACCAUCUAGGUCAACAAGUACUCUUAUUUUUUAGGGAGUCGGAGACGAUCGAAGAGGCAGCAAAUAGGAACUUUCGAUAAGGGAGAGCUUAACAAGGUCGAGACCAAGAUGAUGGAUAUUCCAAGGAAGAUCGAAGAAGAUGAAUGAAGGUUUAUACCUACCCCUAACUGGCACUAUGAAUCCAAUCCCAUCUACAUAGAUGUUCCUAGCCACGAGAUGAGGGGGUUCUCUCUUACUGUUAAGCCGUCUUCAACUCUUCUUUCUUUACUCCUUUCCGCAUCGGGGCUGAUAAUUGGAUAGAAUCUCCUUAAAUAAAGAAAGGGGGCGUAUAAAUUGGGUUUUUGGCUCGCAAUAAAGCUAGGGUCCUGAUCGAGCAACUAGUAGUCCUAUCUAUCCGAAAAGGGGCAUAUAAAUUGGGUUUUUGGCUCGCAAUAAAGCUAGGGUCCUGAUCGAGCAACUAGUAGUCUUAUCUAUCCACCUCUCCAGACAUAAUAUCUUGAUUACCUAUGAUGGUGACCACAUCUGCUGGCAUGUGAUGUUUGGAGAUAGAAUCGAGUCCUUGUGAAUGGGCAAAGCCAGGUGCUCUUAUUUUACAACGGUAGGGAUGAUUUUUUCCAUUACUGACUAGAAAGACACAAAAUUCUCCUUUAGGUGCUUCAACUGCGGUAUAGGUAGAAGGAGCUGGUAUGGAAAAACCUUCUGUAUAAGGUUCCAAAUGGUAAAUUGAGGUAGAGUAGACCGAUGAUCCUGUAGUCAUUUUGCCAGCUAUUGAAAGAAAAAGCUUGCAUCUGCAUCCCCUAUUAUAUAACCGGUCCUAUCUCUCUUCAAACCUAACGUCUUAGUUUCCCAUCAUAGGGCUUCCUAUCAAUAGAUUAAGCCAUUACCAAGGAGCUACUUCAUUCAGAACUCAGUUGACUGCUUCUAUAGAGAAGGCGGAGCGUCCUUGGCUCAGCAUUAUAGCACAUAGGGCUUCGGCGCUACUACAGCGCUUCGCUAACUCGAAGCGCCUCGCUAUGAGAAUCUAGCUUCGCUAACCCUCGACUAAGUCUUGAACCUUUGCGCUGACCGUUCGCUUUCUCAGUAGCAAAAGCGCUUCUCUUUGCCCCGUAACCUUUAGAAGGACAAGAAAGAGAUUAUUGGUUUUCUUGCUCCCGCUUCCUCAUCUGCGCUCAUCAAGCCAACUUCGCUCUUUGGGAGGUGAAACAGCGGUUGAAGCGGACAUUUAGAAAUGACAACAUCGAAGAUAUAUUUCUAUAUAUACACGAUUACGGUUAUCUCGGACUGCAUUCCGGAAAAAGUAGCCUACUUGUGGGGCACUGUGUACUUACAGCCUCUACGAUAAGCAAGUGAAUGUGGUCGGUGUGUGGCGAACGUUCAUCAAGCCAUUUUUCGCCUCAACUCCAUAAAUAGGAAGAGGGGUAGUUUACAAAUUGGGGUAGUCAAUUCGCACCUGACUGUGAUAGCCCUCUCGAUACCUUAUUGGAGAUUUGUAACUAGUGGCCGAUUUCCCGUCGUGUCAGCCUUUUCCCAGUGCACGGAGCCCCAAUGAGGAAGGUGUUAGUGCUUUAUCAUUGGGUCAAUAAUGCUAAUCCCUCUUUUUGUGCUACUCCUAGGGCGGGAAGAAGAUAAGAAAACGCGAAGCGUUCUCUUGCUUUCCCAACCUGUUGUUUCUAAAGACUGCCCUCUCUCGGCUGGAUCUUGGUCCAGCCUACUACGAGGAUCCCGUAUCCAGCAACUUCUUUCCCAACCUAUUGUUUCUAAAGACUGCCCUUUCUCGGCUGGAUCUUGGUCCAGCCUACUACGAGGAUCCCGUAUCCAGCGACCCAACAUAUAAAAAGGGCAUCAAAGCCUCUUAACUAGGUUGGAGCUAUAAAGCUUACCUUAUAUUAUUGAAAAGGAAAAGGGCCUUCUCAGCUGGUAUGAAGGAGCGCACUUCCAUUUUCCCUUUACUAGUAGGGGGUUCCGUGGUUUCUAUGCCACCGCGUUUCCCGGUCCUUAUCUAUUAGUGCUUCGACCCGAAGCGAUAGCUUCUAGCUAGUUCAGUAGAUAAGAUGGCUCCGCUCCAGCUCACUCAAGAAUGGGACGGUAGUGGUCCGCCAGCAAGCUCGUUCUGAUCUUGGACGCAGUACAUUGGAAUCCCGAAGCACCACCACGAAUGCUAGCGCGCAUCCGCCUGCGGUGCGGUAAGGCACCACCCUGUUGUGCCACCAGCCAACUCCGGCGUGUCAGCUUAGUUAUCCUCAUCAAACCACAUACUUAAUGUCUAGCUUCCCAACUGGCACACGUUUCCUUUUCCCCCAAAUCAAUGAAGAAGGGAGACGUAAGUUGAUUCUUCCAUAGAAUCGGAAGCGAAUCGCUAUGCCGGGGGGGGGGGACAGAAAAAAAAACGGCUUCAAAGAAAAAAAUUGGGGUUCCAAUGCUUCUCCACGCUCAACGAGAUGUGCCAACCUCGGGAUGCUAUACUCCUAACCCCACAAGGUUCCGAGACGGAGCUUAACCUGAGUCUCGGUUAAGAACGGCAAUGAUAUACGUUUCACAUAGCGCACGAUUCCAUGGAUAGUUUCAUUCGAGAUCGUGAUGGAGGACAUGGCUUACGAUCAUCGGCUUUGAUCAAGCCACUAAGCAUUUGAUUAAGACAUUGCACAAUGAUCCGAACACUUUGUUGCUUCUCUUCGAUACGAAUACAGUAACGAUCAUAGCAAUAUCCUCUGGUACCUACUGGAAUGUCAGGAUCCAAUUGGUCAUGAACAUCGUAAGAUGCUGCUUUUCGCAAAUCCCAGCAUACCCCAGAACCUCUUAGCAUUACACCACUGAAUCCUCAAUCCUUUUCUUGCUGUGCAUUGACAGUACCAAUAUCCACUAUUUGUUGUUUCCAGAUAUGGUUUUCGGUUGACAUCUCUUCUAAUUCGUCGAUACGAGAAGCAAAUUGUUGUGUGAAUGAAUCAAUAUCUAUACAUAAGCCAAGAGGCAGAGCGGACUUUCCCUCAGGAAUGUUUAUCAUGGAGGCCAGUGUUGCGAAUGCAUCCGCGAACUUAUUUUUUCUCUGAAAGGUGAGAGAAACUGAUUUUCUUGAAUUGCUCAGUGAGCUUUUCAAGAUAAGCAUGGUAUGUCAAAAAAAUUUCAUAUUUUGUUUUCAAUUUCUUUGGGGUUUGGCAGAUGAUAAGCGUCGAAUCCCUAAAUACUUCGAUAUCUUAUAUUCCCAUGGUCAAGGCAGUCUUUAAUCCAUGGAUACAUACUUCAUCUUCUGUGGUAUUCUUGAGUUUUGGCAGAUGAUAAGCGUCGAAUCCCUAUAUACUUUGAUUUCUUAUAUUACCAGGGUCAAGGCAGUCUUUAAUCCAUAGAUACAUACUUCAUCUUCUGUGGUAUACUUAGUUCCUUAAAAGUUCCGCUUACUGGCAAUGGGGGUGUGCGAUUCAUCAGGUGCAAUCAGCAAUGCCCCUACUCCGUACCCAUUUUGAUUAGUCGUGCCAUCAAAGUCAAAUUUCCAUGCCCUCCUCUUCUGUGACAGCUAUUUCCUCGUCUGGGAAGCAAUCCUUAAACUCAUGUUCCUCCUUGAUAGGGUGCAAGGUGUUCUGCUAUCGCCCUUCCUUUUUUAUCCGUAAACUCAUAUUCCUCCUUGAUAGGCUGCAAGGUGUUCUGCUUUCGCCCUUCCUUUUUGGUUACAUACGUGAUGUCGAAUUCAGACAGAAGCAGUAACAAUCUUGCGGUCCUUCCGGUUACGUUAAGGCAGGUUUCUCAAAUAAAUACUUUUUUUGUAGGUCCAUGGAAGCUAUUCAAUGUGCUACUGUGUAAGACAGCAUGUAAUGCCUCAAUUUCCACCAUACCCAAACCAAAGCCAAGCAGGUUUUCUCCAAAUUGGUAUACCUGGUCUUGUAGUCAGUCAUUUUCUUACGUUGGUAGUAUAUGGCCCUUUACUUCCGUCUGUCUUCAUCGUAUUAAGCCAACAUAGACCCCAUAGUGGUUUCGGUGACUGAUAGGUAUAGUAAUAAAGGCUUCCUGGCGUUGUAGGCACUAGAAUGGAAUAGUGGCCCUUUACUUCCGUCUGUCUUCAUCAUAUUAAGCCAACAUAGACCCCAUAGUGGUUUCGGUGACUGAUAGGUAUAGUAAUAAAGGCUUUCUGGCGUUGUAGGCACUAGAAUGGAGUCCUUUAUUUUGUCAAAAGCUUUCUGGCGGACUUCAUCCCAUUUUCCUGCUAAAAUUUGUGUAUUGACUCGCAAGUGGUUAUACAAGAGAAAGUCAAAGUCUGAUGGGACUAUUGAUCGCUACAAGGCUNNNNNNNNNNNNNNNNNNNNNNNNNNNNNNNNNNNNNNNNNNNNNNNNNNNNNNNNNNNNNNNNNNNNNNNNNNNNNNNNNNNNNNNNNNNNNNNNNNNNNNNNNNNNNNNNNNNNNNNNNNNNNNNNNNNNNNNNNNNNNAUCCAGUUAUCAAGAUGGCAUCAAGGGCGAUUAGGUGUGACUUGCAUGAUAAGGGAAAGAGAAGACGUCCCUCAAAGCCCCAUUAACGCAAAAGAAGUCAAUUCCUACGUUUUUAAAUUACCAGAAGUUCUUAGCUACUCGGCUAUACUAUAGGCUCAAAAGGCUUCCUGGCGUUGUAGGCUCUAGAAUGGAGUCCUUUAUUUUGUCAAAAGCUUUCAGGCGGGCUUCAUCCCAUUUUCGUGCUAAAUUUUGAUUUAUAAAUUUGUGUUUCGGCUCGCAAGUGGUUAUACAAGAGAAAGUCAAAGUCUGAUGGGACUAUUGAUCGGUACAAGGCUCGCGUGUUAGCCAAAGUCUACAACCAGCAAUAGGGUAUAGAUUAUGAUGAGACAUUCAGUGCAGUUAUCAAGAUAGCAUCAAGGGCGCUUAGGUGUGACUUGCUUGGUAAUGGAAAGAGAAGACGUCCCUCAAAGCCCUAUUAACGCAAAAGAAGUCGAUUCCUACAUUUUUAAAUUACCAGAAGCUCUUAGCUACUCAGCUAUACUAUAGUCUCUAAAGGCAUUACUUGACUGAAAGAGCGCUUAUAUUAUGGGGGCUUCCCUUUCGAACAUCUGACUUAUAUACAGGUCAUCGACUUAAGAAGCACAAAAAAAAAGUAGCUACCUCGGGAAAGGGAUGAGAGUAGUCUUUUUCCAAUAGGCUAGCUGCCUAUUGCAGGAGUUCCUGACCUGAAAGGACACCAGCAAGCUGCUACUGAAUGUGAACAAAGUCAAGGAGAUGGCGAUUGACAUUGAAUUCCCUCUUCUGGUUUUAAUAUGAAUUGACUCUGGUUUGGUCACUAGCUCCGUACAUCCCUAUGCAACUUCUCUCGUCACUAGUCACUAUGGCCAAAGGUUAGCAAGCCUGCUCCCAGGUCAGUAGCGAGGUCAGCUCCAUCUCCCCUUUCCUUUGUCUUUGUCUACCGUUCAUCCUUGACCUUCUUUAAGAACUCGUUAACAUCGGAACAGCCACCAUGAAGGUCACUCAAAGUAACCUACUCGAGCUUCGUCCUUUGUAUUGUACCGCCUGGAAAGAGGUUCGCUGGCCUUUUUCUUUCCCCGCACCUAAAAGUUGCCUUAGUUCCCUUUUUUUUUAAAAAGACCUAAGCUUGAAGUCAAGGCUUCUAUGCUGCUCGAUCUUUCUUGAUGAAGAGAAUGGCAUACUUAGGUCUCAGGAUGAGAUUCUGAAAGAGUAACCGCAAUAUCAGAAGAAAUUCUUCCUUGAUUCCUUUGACCUGAGACUGCUACUUGUAUUUCCUUUACUACUCUUUCUCUCUCCUCAGUUACUUCUUGAGCCAACAAAGUUUUUGCUAGUCUUUCCUUGCUACUUUGAAUCAACCAGAAAAGGAGGAUUGAGCAGUGGCUUGGGAAAUAAGACAACACUUGAUGGGAAUUGAGUAGUAGUAAGGAAUGAUAAAGAGUGAAAUUCAGUCACCCUCUCCGCUUUCUUUUCUUGAGAAGAAUGCUCUGGUCUGGCAUAAAUGCCACUAGGUCAUCUAUGAUUUGCAUCUGCACGAAUGAAAGACAGAAGAGUGGAAAACUAAAAAGAAAGCUAGGGCGUCCGAUGGAUAAAGUCUACCUUUGUGAUGUCAGGCUGAAAAGGGGGGAUAGCACUAGAGAGUCGGGAACUUUCACUGCAACUGAUGAGGCUCACACCUUACAUCAAACUAACCUAUCAACAGAAAGAAUCGAGGUUGAUUUCUUUGUUAUUGGGAAUGCAGUUGAAAUAGAGAUUCGCUUGAAAAGAGAGCAGUACUACAAGAAAGCUGUAAGAUAGAAAUAAGUCGAUUCCUGCCAUUCCGGAAAUCAGAGUUUAGAAGUCUUUCAUCCGGGAGACAUAACUCCUC